UAGGGAAUCUUCCACAAUGGACGCAAGUCUGAUGGAGCAACGCCGCGUGAGUGAAGAAGGUCUUCGGAUCGUAAAGCUCUGUUGUUGGUGAAGAAGGAUAGAGGCAGUAACUGGUCUUUAUUUGACGGUAAUCAACCAGAAAGUCACGGCUAACUGACGUGCCAGCAGCCGCGGUAAUACGUAGGUGGCAAGCGUUGUCCGGAUUUAUUGGGCGUAAAGCGAGCGCAGGCGGAAUGAUAAGUCUGAUGUGAAAGCCCACGGCUCAACCGUGGAACUGCAUCGGAAACUGUCAUUCUUGAGUGCAGAAGAGGAGAGUGGAACUCCACGUGUAGCGGUGGAAUGCGUAGAUAUAUGGAAGAACACCAGUGGCGAAGGCGGCUCUCUGGUCUGCAACUGACGCUGAGGCUCGAAAGCAUGGGUAGCGAACAGGAUUAGAUACCCUGGUAGUCCAUGCCGUAAACGAUGAGCGCUAGGUGUUGGGGACUUUCCG
Molecule: ribosomal RNA, 490 nt
Filed under: uncultured bacterium
Lineage: Bacteria
Description: partial 16S ribosomal RNA
Rfam family: Bacterial small subunit ribosomal RNA
Source: RNAcentral